UGGGUUAUAGCUUAAAAUGAAGCAUCUCAGUUACGUUGGGAAGAUCACUAAGUAUUAGUGUAGCUCAA
This 68-nucleotide transfer RNA is filed under the name Atyopsis moluccensis. RNAcentral's name for it is "tRNA-Val". The record is from RNAcentral. Lineage: Eukaryota; Metazoa; Arthropoda; Malacostraca; Decapoda; Atyidae.